UAAACCCAACACCCAUUCUCAUUUGCAAAUCUUCUGAUCCUUUCUCAGAACCCGUUGCUACCAUUACCAAACCUAGACAUUCUUACCCAACCCAUCACCGCCGACCAGGCGACCACGAUCCUGGAUCAAACCCAGAGCUUCUUACCCAACCCAUUACCGCCUACCACGAUCCCGGCCAUCCCGGAGCAAUCCUCGGAUGCCGCCUGUCUACUAGACCUCUCGUAGGAGAUGUUCCACGGGAUCAAGUCUGCAUGCGGGUCGAAUGCUUACCCGAGUCUCAACCGGAACAAUUGAGGUCGAAACCCUAAUCGACACAGUCGAGCAAGGCUGUCCACCAUCAGCUGUCACUAUCCGCGACGGAGCCACCGGAGCAAAGGUUCUUGUGGGAUCUGUUGAAUAGAAUUUAAACCCUCAGAGAACACAGUCAUCACCUCGCCGACACCACCACCAUAUGUAGAUUCGGUGGGGAAACCAUCCAGUGUCGUUGGCUUUGCUGUGCGAAGGAGAAGCCAUAAAUGGUUUAUGCCUAAGUUUGGUUCGAAAUAUGCUCAGGUUCACAUGAAUACUUCUGCUGCUCAAGGAUGCGUGAAGCCCUUGUUUCAUUUACAUCAGUUGGACAUAGUGACAGUGAAAGAUGAAUAGGAAAUAAUUGUCUUUAAUUCAAGCUCUAAGGUUCUUUCAGGAGAAUUUUUAUUUGAAAAAGAAUAAUAUGAAUUUUAAAAAAUGCAUGAAAAAGUUGACAUAAUUUGAUUAGAAAUUGUUAUGUUGGAUUA
Molecule: long non-coding RNA, 773 nt
Organism: Ipomoea triloba (trilobed morning glory)
Lineage: Eukaryota; Viridiplantae; Streptophyta; Magnoliopsida; Solanales; Convolvulaceae
Exons: 2
Source: RefSeq, a predicted model, not a curated record